CCAGCCCAGACUAUCCCCACCGCCGGGCCGCCAGCCUGGCUGCUGUCUCUCCGGGAGCCGCUGCCAAGCCGUCAGCUCCUUUCAUCGCCCCAAGGCAGCCAGAGGGAGCGCCAGCAGCAGCCUUGGCACACGCCCGCUCCGGCCACUCCCGGCGUGUUCUCAGACACAGACGCCAGCCCAGCGGGGCGGGCACCCAGCUCCGAGCCCACGGCUGCAACAAGGAAGGGUCACUGGGGGACCCAGCCCCCUCAUUACACGUCAGGAAACCUGGGCUGGGGAUCAGCCAGGCCUCCUUUGAAACUGUCUAGCCAAAUCAGCCCGUCAGAGUGGCGAUCAGAUGUCCAUGGGAGGCGGUUCCCUCUGCUGGAAUGUUCUCCAUCCCUCCCCCACCGGCCAGCCCCUCAGGGCUCAGCGAGGGCAGGCCCUUCCUCAGAGGCCCUGACCUUCACCCAGGGCCAAGCUCCCUCUUAGCACUCAUAGCACCCAGCCCAGGCGCCUGGCUGUCAGCCCAGAUGGGCACCUAAGCUAAGGAAGCUUGGGGGAGGGACGGGGGACCUCGCAGGGCUCCCCGUGGGUCCACUUGGUGGUCCUGCUCCUCCCGACAUGUGGGCACAGGCUGGCCUUCCAGGACUUCCGUGUUUGGCUCCUGGAGGCAGGACCCCUGUCCCCAUCCUGACUCCGGGCACCCAGAGGCAGCCGAGAGCUGGGCAGGGGGAUACCCAACUCCACGGAGAUGCCCAUGGCCUCAGGAAACUCUGUCCCACGCCCUUGGCUUUGAGGUGAGGAUAAGAGAGCCCAGCCCUGGCUCCAGGAUCACCUCCAUAGAGUCCGUCCUGGGUCUCUGAGCCUUCACUUCCUCCUCUGCCAAACGGAUUCUGAUUCUUCCUGGUCAGGCUGCUGACAGAAGGGAAAACAAGCAGAAGCAGCUCAUCAAAGGACACACAGCACAUGGGAGGCAGAGCUGGGACCAGGGCUAAGGACCCUGGUAGCCAACCCAGCAUUGUCUCCUCCUGACCUUGUCCGCGCUCCAGGUGAUGCUGGGAGUGAAGGUCACCGCCACAAGGGAGUAAGAGCAUCUCUGGUUAGACUUCCUCUCCCCAGGCCUCAGCCCCUCCAUCCAGGAGCCUGAGCUGGGCCUCUGCUUGGCCGUGAUGCCCUCUCUCUGGAUCCACCCAAUGAGGUCAAGAAGGUGCCCCAGCUCUCCCGGCGAGGGCUGGGAUGUCCUGGGUGGAUGCCCACUCUGGUCAGUUGCCAGCAUCUAGACUCCCCACACACCAGCAACUUCAGGAAGGAGGCACAAGGGCAGACAGGCUCUCAGAUGGGCACAAUUCCAGGGCCGUCAUGGCUUCCGGGAGCUUGAUGGGGCCAGAGGAUCGAUGUGCCUAUCUCCCAGGGCUGCUGGCAGGAUUAGAUAGGUUGCCCUUCGAACAGUCACCUGGAAGCAGGGGGAGGAGCCUGUUCAUGUUGGGCGUUGACCAACAAGAACCAGCAAGAGAGAUGAAGAUGGAUCUGCCCUCGCACAGCUGCAGCAGACUCGCACACUUGGAGGCAACAUGUGACGUGGAGAGACACACUUUAUGUCCAUGUUGUUGGGGGAGCAGCCUGUGCCGUCCCUCGGUGAGCUGGCAUCCUCCUGGCCCUGCUGAGCAAGUGAGCAGAGAUGCGGGGCCAGCCCGGCUCCCAGCCCUGCUACUCCAGCCUCAUCAGCCCCACUCCCUCUCUGGCCUUGCCUCCCUCCUUCAGCACCACCCCGGACUGCGCCAGCAAACCCCGCUCCAUCCCUCAUCCCUUUAACAUCCCUUGGCCCUUGCGCCAAGCCCUGUGCUCAAGCCAGUGGGUGCAGGUGAAGGAGCUGGGUCCCUGUGCAGGGAGAGACAGAAGCUGUAAGAAGAGGCCAGCAGCCAGACACCCAGCCCCGCCGCUCCCCUGCUGGGUGACCUCGGGCAAGUCACUGCAUUGCUCUGGGCCUGUUUCUUCAUCUGUAAAACGGGAUGAUGCCAACCCUAACCUCCCCCUCGUGGGACCAGUCGAGAGCCACAGCACCUACAGGAGCCCCAGGGUCCUGAGGGAACCACCUUGAGCCUCAGUCUCCUCAUCUGUAAACCGAGGCUGAUGACUCCAGGCCCAUGUCACAGGACCGCAGAGAGAAAUGCCCGACAUUGGGACUGUGGGGUCACAGGAACGUGGUCACAACAUCCGAGCACCUUCCCCAGACAGACCCCAGGCUGGGCACCGAGGAAGGGUUGCUUGCACCUGAGCUGGGCCUGAGCUGGGCCUGAGCUGGGCCUUGAAGGAGAAGCAAAGUCCACCACUCCCUGCAGGGAGCUGUGGGCAGACACACCCCAAAAAACAAAUACACUGCGAUGGGCGCCAGGACAAGCCACCGAGAGCAGCAG
Molecule: long non-coding RNA, 2396 nt
Filed under: Equus caballus (horse)
Lineage: Eukaryota; Metazoa; Chordata; Mammalia; Perissodactyla; Equidae
Description: lncRNA (ENSECAG00000053548.1)
Source: RNAcentral